RNAcentral lists this ribosomal RNA (360 nucleotides) under uncultured bacterium. RNAcentral describes it as "bacterial SSU rRNA". It matches the Rfam family "Bacterial small subunit ribosomal RNA", at positions 43 to 387 of the family's 1533-position model. The record is from RNAcentral.
GGCCGCGGGAAUUCGAUUCAGGCCUAACACAUGCAAGUCGAACGGCAGCACGGAGCUUGCUCUGGUGGCGAAAGGCGAACGGGUGAGUAAUAUAUCGGAACAUACCCUGGAGUGGGGGAUAACGUAGCGAAAGUUACGCUAAUACCGCAUACGAUCUACGGAUGAAAGUGGGGGAUCGCAAGACCUCAUGCUCGUGGAGCGGCCGAUAUCUGAUUAGCUAGUUGGUAGGGUAAAAGCCUACCAAGGCAUCGAUCAGUAGCUGGUCUGAGAGGACGACCAGCCACACUGGAACUGAGACACGGUCCAGACUCCUACGGGAGGCAGCAGUGGGGAAUUUUGGACAAUGGGCGAAAGCCUGAU